CUCUCUCUUCUUGUGAAAUAUUUCCUUACUCUUACCAAAGAGAAAAGCACAAUAUCUUCUCAAAACUUCCGGUCCUCUCUCUCUUCCCCAUUCCUCUCAAAAUUUUGUUCCUCUCUUUGAUAUGCAUUGUGUUAGCUUCUUACAACCAUUUUUAUUUGAAUUUUAGGUGAUCAAUAUCUUCACUCCGUGAACUCUUUCUCACUCACAUAUUCUCUCUCUCAUUGCACUCACUCUUUCUCUCCCACCUUCAUCUUCAAUUUUGCAAUUGAAGUACCGAUAAAAGAUAAUGAGGAUGUCUCAAAGAGAUUGGCGUUCAAAUGUAGAGAUCGAACUUCACAAAGAGCUCUCCAGGCUGGUCCAUUAUAGGAGGAUGGUAAUGCCCCUUUUUUAUUCAGUACAGUGGACUGCGGUUGGCGUGUCGGGGACUGAGAAAAUUGGAGUCUUAGUGAUCGAGGUGAUCUAAUUCUUGGGCUAGGGUUUCAAUUGGAGAGGAUUAAUUUUAGCCUCCACUGAUUUUGGAAAUUGUUAAUUCCUAUAUGAAUAUGUCAGAAUAGGCCGAUCCGAUCUAAUUCUUGAAUCUUGUCUUUAAUGAUGUAUGUAAUUCUUAACCCUUGUUUUUCAUAAAUCGAAGAGGCUAUUUUUGCACAAACAUCACCUGUGGUGACUGCAGUUCUGGGCGGGUUCAAUGUCUGCAUUUUUGCUUAUGGCUAGAUAGGAACUGGGGAGCCAUUUACUAUGGACGGAAUACCAAAAAACAGGGGAGUUAAUUCUAGGGCAUUGGAGGAGUUGUUCUUUCUGAGCAGAGAAGCAGUACCAGAAGACAUAAUUUAUUUGUGAGCAUGCUAGAAGCUUACAAUGAGAAGAUUAGGGAUCUUUUUGAGAGAAUUCCAACCAACCUCUGAAUAAGUUGGAGAUAAAACAAGCAGCAGAGGGAACACAAGAAGUCCUUGGCUUUUCAAAGCUCGUGUUUAUGGUAUAGAUGAGGUGUGGGAGCUUUUAAAGACCGGAUGGCAAAUCCGAUCUAUUGGAUCAACUAAUGCUAAUGAGCUCAGCAGCUGCUUACACUGAUAAAAAUCUACUUGGAAUAUGAAUAUAGUUCUCACUAUUCGCUUCCUCCCACACCCACCCCCCUAAAAAAAAAAAAAAAAAAGGAAGUUUAGGCGACUGCAACUCUUAAAAUUUGUUUGUUUUACCACUCUUUGGUUAAUCCUCUGUCUUCUAUCCCAGAAUUUUAAAGUUCUCCACAAAAUAUUUAUGCGUUCUGCAUCAGAAUUCCUAUAUUCAAUAUAGUCUCACAUGAUGAACUUCAGUUAUGAUGUUUAAAACAGUUUCCAAAUUCAUGAGUGAAGUCAAAGAGAGAUAAUGACGGUGUAAGUGACCAUAGUAUCCAAUUCGCUGUACUAAUCUUUAUCUUGUGAAACCACAGUUUGUUGUGACUGUUUUGGGGAGAGGAUUUGGUAAAUGGGAAAAGGACCAGAAGCCACCUCUAGCUGGUUAACUUGGCUGGAAGUGAGUGAGUUGGGAGGAUUGAAGUUGAGGGUGAAAGGUUGAAUGAGUCUCAGUUCAUUAACAAGUCUCUCUCGGCUCUCGGCACUCCUUGAUUUUAUCUAUGCUCUUGCAAACAAGACAGCCCGUAUACCUUAUAGGAACUCAAAGCUCACCCAUUUGCUGCAGAACUCUCUAGGAAUUGAGCAUGGCCCUGCCCGCAAACAUGCAGACCCAACUGAACUUCUCAAGUACAAACAAAGGUUAAUGAUUUGUCCUACUACAACAAUGAUAAGAAUGAAUAGACCUAAGAGGAUGAGUUGUGAGAUGCUGUGUUGCUUGUAUUUUCUAACAAGCAAGAUCUUCCUAAUGCAAUUAAUGCUGUGGAGAUCAAUGAUAAGCUUGGCCUUCACUCUCUCUGCCAACGCCACUGGUACAUCCAUAGUACUUGUGCAACCUCUGGAGAGGGCCUUUUUGAGGGGUUGGACUAGCUCUCCAACAACAUUGCUAACAAGGCAGGUACUUGAACUAAUACCUUUCCUUUUUCCACAGUUUAAAGGACUAUUCAGCCCCUGGGUAUGGAGCCAUAACAUUACUGUGUAGUUAAUCGAAGCUUUUGUUUUACUGUUUUAAGUUUGCUUUUAAAAAUUUCACGUGUGAUGGCUGUUCUAUCUAUCUAACGGCUUUACUCUUCUUACUUGUUUCUAGGCCUGUGAUGAAUAAAUGUUGUGUUUAUCAAAAGAGGGCGUGUUAUAAAUGCAGGAUUUAUGCUGUGUAGCUCUGUUUUUCUUCUUUUUCUGUUUCUUUUUUUUU
Molecule: RNA transcript, 2298 nt
Organism: Macadamia integrifolia
Lineage: Eukaryota; Viridiplantae; Streptophyta; Magnoliopsida; Proteales; Proteaceae
Exons: 6
Source: RefSeq, a predicted model, not a curated record